RNAcentral lists this ribosomal RNA (428 nucleotides) under uncultured Alphaproteobacteria bacterium. Its description in RNAcentral is "bacterial SSU rRNA". It matches the Rfam family "Bacterial small subunit ribosomal RNA", at positions 1029 to 1457 of the family's 1533-position model. The record is from RNAcentral. Lineage: Bacteria; Pseudomonadati; Pseudomonadota; Alphaproteobacteria.
CGGAGACAGGUGCUGCAUGGCUGUCGUCAGCUCGUGUCGUGAGAUGUUGGGUUAAGUCCCGCAACGAGCGCAACCCUCGGCCUUAGUUGCCAUCAUUUAGUUGGGCACUCUAAGGCGACUGCCGGUGAUAAGCCGGAGGAAGGUGGGGAUGACGUCAAGUCCUCAUGGCCCUUACAGGUUGGGCUACACACGUGCUACAAUGGCGGUGACAGAGGGACGCAAAAGGGCGACCUUUCGCAAAUCUCAAAAAGCCGUCUCAGUUCGGAUUGGGGUCUGCAACUCGACCCCAUGAAGUUGGAAUCGCUAGUAAUCGCAGAUCAGCACGCUGCGGUGAAUACGUUCCCGGGCCUUGUACACACCGCCCGUCACACCAUGGGAGUUGGCUUUACCUGAAGACGGUGCGUUAACCCGCAAGGGGGACAGCCGGC